Molecule: ribosomal RNA, 472 nt
Filed under: uncultured Glomus
Lineage: Eukaryota; Fungi; Glomeromycota; Glomeromycetes; Glomerales; Glomeraceae
Description: SSU rRNA
Rfam family: Eukaryotic small subunit ribosomal RNA
Source: RNAcentral
AGCAGCCGCGGUAAUUCCAGCUCCAAUAGCGUAUAUUAAAGUUGUUGCAGUUAAAAAGCUCGUAGUUGAAUUUCGGGAUCAAUACGUCGGUCGUGCUUCGGUACGUACUGGCGUAAUUGAUUUCUCCCUUCUGACGAACCAUGAUGUCAUUAACUUGGUGUCAUGGGAAAUCAGGACUGUUACUUUGAAAAAAUUAGGGUGUUUAAAGCAAGCUAACGCUUGAAUACAUUAGCAUGGAAUAAUGAAAUAGGACGUUCGAUCCUAUUUUGUUGGUUUCUAGGAUUGACGUAAUGAUUAAUAGGGAUAGUUGGGGGCAUUAGUAUUCAAUUGCCAGAGGUGAAAUUCUUGGAUUUAUUGAAGACUAACUACUGCGAAAGCAUUUGCCAAGGAUGUUUUCAUUAAUCAAGAACGAAAGUUAGGGGAUCGAAGACGAUCAGAUACCGUCGUAGUCUUAACCAUAAACUAUGCCGAC